UUGGAGAAAUUUGAUCCUGGCUCAGAUUGAACGCUGGCGGCAGGCUUAACACAUGCAAGUCGAGCGGUAGCACAGGGGAGCUUGCUCCCUGGGUGACGAGCGGCGGACGGGUGAGUAAUGUCUGGGAAACUGCCUGAUGGAGGGGGAUAACUACUGGAAACGGUAGCUAAUACCGCAUAACGUCGCAAGACCAAAGAGGGGGACCUUCGGGCCUCUUGCCAUCAGAUGUGCCCAGAUGGGAUUAGCUAGUAGGUGGGGUAAUGGCUCACCUAGGCGACGAUCCCUAGCUGGUCUGAGAGGAUGACCAGCCACACUGGAACUGAGACACGGUCCAGACUCCUACGGGAGGCAGCAGUGGGGAAUAUUGCACAAUGGGCGCAAGCCUGAUGCAGCCAUGCCGCGUGUGUGAAGAAGGCCUUCGGGUUGUAAAGCACUUUCAGCGAGGAGGAAGGUGGUGAGACUUAAUACGUCUCAUCAAUUGACGUUAUCGCGAAGAAGCACGGCACCU
This 508-nucleotide ribosomal RNA is filed under the name Serratia marcescens. RNAcentral's name for it is "bacterial SSU rRNA". It matches the Rfam family "Bacterial small subunit ribosomal RNA", at positions 1 to 502 of the family's 1533-position model. Lineage: Bacteria; Pseudomonadati; Pseudomonadota; Gammaproteobacteria; Enterobacterales; Yersiniaceae. The record is from RNAcentral.